AAGUCGUAACAAGGUUUCCGUAGGUGAACCUGCGGAAGGAUCAUUACAAAAUAAAGCUGGUAGAAGUGGGGUUUGAUCUGUAAGUGGUAGAGCGAACAGUCCGGCUGCCUCCCGAAAAUGUCUUACUUGUCCCCCCACAGCCUGAAGGCCGAAUUACAACCCUUGAUUAUCUACACUUUGUUGCUUUUGGGGUGCUCAGUGCCCCAGAGGACCCAACUCUCUUGCAUUUAGUGACGUCUGAGUACUAUAUAAUAUUUUAAAGC
Molecule: unclassified non-coding RNA, 263 nt
Filed under: plant metagenome
Description: partial contains small subunit ribosomal RNA and internal transcribed spacer 1
Rfam family: Eukaryotic small subunit ribosomal RNA (bases 1-46)
Source: RNAcentral